CCUACGGGUGGCAGCAGUGAGGAAUAUUGGUCAAUGGGCGUAAGCCUGAACCAGCCAAGCCGCGUGAGGGAUGAAGGUUCUAUGGAUCGUAAACCUCUUUUAUAAGGGAAUAAAGUGUGGGACGUGUCCUAUUUUGUAUGUACCUUAUGAAUAAGGAUCGGCUAACUCCGUGCCAGCAGCCGCGGUAAUACGGAGGAUCCGAGCGUUAUCCGGAUUUAUUGGGUUUAAAGGGUGCGUAGGCGGCCUUUUAAGUCAGCGGUGAAAGUCUGUGGCUCAACCAUAGAAUUGCCGUUGAAACUGGGGGGCUUGAGUAUGUUAGAGGCAGGCGGAAUGCGUGGUGUAGCGGUGAAAUGCUUAGAUAUCGCGCAGAACCCCGAUUGUGAAGGCAGCCUGCCAGGGCAUGACUGACGCUGAGGCACGAAAGCGUGGGGAUCAAACAGGAUUAGAUACCCGUGUAGUC
RNAcentral lists this ribosomal RNA (460 nucleotides) under uncultured bacterium. Its description in RNAcentral is "partial 16S ribosomal RNA". It matches the Rfam family "Bacterial small subunit ribosomal RNA", at positions 338 to 795 of the family's 1533-position model. The record is from RNAcentral.